CAAAAGGGUUGCCCUUUACUAGGAGAUACAUCCAGAAACUUGAAGAGCUUGAGCGAAAACAAGCUCAUCUUUAUGUUUUGAGAAAUUGUGAAGAAGUUCAAUCAUUUUUGCGGUAUGUACUCAGGGAUCAAAAAAGAAAGCUGGUGCCUCGUCAGAAAGACUCGGUUCGUAGAGUAGAGGCCAUUCCCCGACAAAGAGCAAAGCGGAGCAUUCACAAAGAGAUGGUGUAAGCAGAAGGG
This 239-nucleotide long non-coding RNA is filed under the name Nicotiana benthamiana. RNAcentral describes it as "long non-coding RNA (NBEN_LNC031990)". Lineage: Eukaryota; Viridiplantae; Streptophyta; Magnoliopsida; Solanales; Solanaceae. The record is from RNAcentral.